Daphnia pulex (common water flea) is the source of this 612-nucleotide long non-coding RNA. RefSeq lists it as uncharacterized. The transcript is spliced from 4 exons. NCBI's taxonomy places the organism in Eukaryota, Metazoa, Arthropoda, Branchiopoda, Diplostraca, Daphniidae. The record is from RefSeq and is a predicted model, not a curated record.
GGGACUUAUAUAAGUCCGUGAGUCCCGACAAUGUUUUUCUCCUUCCAGCAUUGGGUUGAAUUAAUUGCGAUUGUGGCAAAUUGCCAACAGUUAUAAGAAUUGUCUGGUUCCUUCAAUAAGUCGGAUUGAAACCUGAACUCUUUACUAUGGAUUUCCCUGGAGUCAACUGUGUCGAUCGCCAUAAGGAAAAGAAUUCCAGUCGAGUCAUCUGGGAAAAAGACAAACCUGCUAGACAAGAGGAGCGGGUCACCACCUAAGGAGUAGAAAAAAGGUGACCGUGUGGCAAUUUAAAUGCCACCUUGUCCGCUCUCUGUCGCCUCAAUGCUCGCUUCUAUGUACCCGUGUCGGAGCCGUCCAUUCCGUAAAGUCUUUGCCGGAUGCAGUGCGGAAGCGAUGGCCAGUCGCAUCAAUGACGCUGAAACUAAGGUAUGAUUACUGCUGACAGCAGUUGAAAAGUGUCCGACGGGAAAUCCUAAAGGGAUUGUUCAUUCCCACGCUGGCUACAUAUCUUCUUUUUGCGUCGUUGACACAUUAUAUAGUUUAAAUAGUUAGUGGUUUAGAUAGUAGUUUUUCGAUUUUAAAAAAGGAGACAUUUUUGGUUGCGUGGCGGAC